UACGGAGGAUCCAAGCGUUAUCCGGAUUCAUUGGGUUUAAAGGGUGCGUAGGCGGCUUAUUAAGUCAGCGGUGAAAUCCUGGGGCUUAACCCCAGAACUGCCAUUGAUACUGAUGAGCUUGAGUACACUUGAAGUGGGCGGAAUGUGUCGUGUAGCGGUGAAAUGCUUAGAUAUGACACAGAACACCAAUUGCGAAGGCAGCUCACUAAAUUGUCACUGACGCUGAGGCACGAAAGCGUGGGGAUCAAACAGG
Molecule: ribosomal RNA, 253 nt
Filed under: uncultured bacterium
Lineage: Bacteria
Description: partial 16S ribosomal RNA
Rfam family: Bacterial small subunit ribosomal RNA
Source: RNAcentral